RNAcentral lists this ribosomal RNA (460 nucleotides) under uncultured bacterium. RNAcentral describes it as "partial 16S ribosomal RNA". It matches the Rfam family "Bacterial small subunit ribosomal RNA", at positions 338 to 795 of the family's 1533-position model. The record is from RNAcentral.
CCUACGGGUGGCAGCAGUGAGGAAUAUUGGUCAAUGGGCGCGAGCCUGAACCAGCCAAGUAGCGUGAAGGAUGACUGCCCUAUGGGUUGUAAACUUCUUUUAUAAAGGAAUAAAGUGAGGCACGUGUGCCUUUUUGUAUGUACUUUAUGAAUAAGGAUCGGCUAACUCCGUGCCAGCAGCCGCGGUAAUACGGAGGAUCCGAGCGUUAUCCGGAUUUAUUGGGUUUAAAGGGAGCGUAGGUGGGUUGUUAAGUCAGUUGUGAAAGUUUGCGGCUCAACCGUAAAAUUGCAGUUGAUACUGGCAGCCUUGAGUACAGUAGAGGUAGGCGGAAUUCGUGGUGUAGCGGUGAAAUGCUUAGAUAUCACGAAGAACUCCGAUUGCGAAGGCAGCUUACUAGACUGCAACUGACGUUGAUGCUCGAAAGUGUGGGUAUCAAACAGGAUUAGAUACCCUAGUAGUC